This 40206-nucleotide long non-coding RNA is filed under the name Phaseolus vulgaris (common bean). RNAcentral's name for it is "long non-coding RNA (PVUL_LNC001849)". The record is from RNAcentral. Lineage: Eukaryota; Viridiplantae; Streptophyta; Magnoliopsida; Fabales; Fabaceae.
GAAGGAUGACCUAAUCUUUGAUGCCAAAGACCAACAAUUUUAGUUACAUAAUUCAAGAAAGGAGAAACAUGUUGUGUAAUGGAUUUAUCUAAACAGUAUAAGCCACCAAUCAAAUCAACUAAACCAAUCCUGUCUCUGGUUCUACUGUCCUGUAUGAUACACUUGUUAGAACAGAAAGUUAAAUCACAUUGAAGGCAAGAAAUAAGUUUGGAUAUAGAGACAAGAUUGAAAGAAAAAGCUAGAACAUAUAAAACAUUUGUAAGACUAAUUCUGUAAUUGAGAUUAACAGUUCCAGAGUAAUUUGAUGUAACAUAGUGGCCAUUGGGUGGAAAAAUCAUAUAAAGUAAAACAUACAUAAUCUGUUGCUCUAGAGUCUAAAAUCCAAGUAUAUUUAUUUAGUAAAGGAUUCUUUAAGGUAUGUGUGUUGCCUGUAGAGGUAGAGUCCCUGUCUUGUUGACUUGUACCAGCAACAAAAGAUCCAACCUGAUUCACUUGAGCUUGUCCAGCAGAAGUGUUUGCUUGCUUGAGAAGGUUGGUUAAGAUUUGAUAUUGCUGAUGAGUAAAAUGAGUAUCGCCAUUCUCAUUGUUGUUAGAAUCAUACUCCUCUUGAGUGGCAAUGUUGUUGACAGAAUAAGUCUUACCAUUUUGGAAUUUGUAACCGGGUGGAUAACCAUGCUUCUUAUAGCAUGUAUCAACAGUGUGACCAGUUUUAUUGUAGUGUGUGCAAACCUUUCUAUUACUAUUAUGACUGGCCUUUUUUCCAUCCUGAUUGGGAAAACCAUGUUUCAUAAAACACACACUAUCAUUAUGACCAUUCUUGCCACAAAAACAAGAAACAACAUAAGACUGCACAUUACUCUUGUUUACCAUGGGUUGAGCAUUCUUUGUAUUAGCUAUCAAAGCAUUGCUACUCAAUUGUCAUUCUUGUUGGGCUGCUAAAGAAAAUAUUUUUGGUAUAGGUGGGACGGAUUCCAUUAAACGGACAUAGGAUUUAACAUUGCUAUACUGAUCGUUUAGACCUCUCAAAAAUUGCAUACCUUGGUCUUCCCUAAAACUAGUAACACGUUAAUUAUAUGAUAAUAGUUUUAAUAUAAUGAAUAGAUAAUCUUAUUAACUUCAUAUAUGACAUUAUAUAUGGGUGGAUAUGCUAUUUUCAUAUAUAUUUUGUUUAGUCUUCUUAUCUUCUAUAUUUUUAAAAACAAAUUAUCUAAAUUUUAUUUUCUUGAUUAAUCCUUAAACUUUAUCUUGUUUCCAAAUAAACACUAUCAACUUCAAUUUUAUUCCAAUAUUGAUCUUUAAACUUUAAUUACUUAUUUUGAAAAUAGUCACUUAAUUAAUUUUAUCAUAAUUAAUCCUUAAAAUUUACCCCUUUUUUAAAUAGUCUCUCGUAUAGAAUUGGGUUAAACUCUAAAUCGUUUUAUUCUAAAACAUAGUCAUUUAUUUAUUUAUUUUUCACAAUCACAUUUUUCUACAUUAAAACAUAGUUAAUUUUAGAAAUAAACCACUCUUUAUAAUUUUUUUUUUUUAUCUCAUGACCUUUUAGUUUUUCGAAAUUAUAUCUUAAUAUAUAAAUACAUGAAUUUUAACCAAAGAAUUAAAUGUGAUUUAUAUUGAAAAUAAAUUAUGUUUCUCUAAUUUGAUAAAAAUAACUAUUGCCAAAAGAAAUCUUAAGAAUCUAUUAGAAUGCAAUUAAAGUUCAAGGUGUCAAUUCAAAAAAGUGAUAAAUUCAAGGACUAAUUUGAAUCAACUUAAAUGUUGUCUACUUGAAAACAUUUAAAGAUAAAAUUAAUAUUUUUAAAAUUUGUAUUUAUAUAAAAAAAUAGAGGAAUUAAAUACUUUUUCCCCUAAAUAUAUAAAUAUAUGGAACUUGCACAUAGAAUAAUAAAACUAUAGAACAUUAUAUCCCUUAUACUUAUACAUCAGAAUAGUUUCUUAUAAGAUUUCAUUCUCAUUUUUUUUUAUGAUAGCAAGGUUUCUUUCUCUUUACUCACUAGCAUUUUACUUAGUCUAAAUUCUAUAGAGAACAUUAAAUUUUCUUUUAUAUACUAAUAUUUCUCAUUCUCAACGAAAUUCUAUCAGCAUAAUUAUAAGAAAAAAUUAUAAAUUAUAAUAUAGCAGAAGUUUAACUACUUUUUAUUUUAUGAUUUUAUUGUAAAAAUAUUUUUCAGUUAAUUAAAAUCUUAAUUUAAACAACUUUUUAUUUUUUACAUCAAUCUUCAAUGAAAGACCUUUAAUUUUAAAAAAUAAAUAAUAUUAGUUAAUAAAAAAUAAUUAAUUUAUUAUGUUUUUCUUUCACUUUUUUUUUCUAACUUAUGUUAUUGAUUAGGUUUUUUUCCACCCCUGAAACAGUAACGUAAAAAGUACGCAUACCCGUGGCAGCCUCCUUGUUCCACAUAAUUAAAACACCAUAUUCAACUUACAUCUUGGACUUAACUUCGGACACUUAAAUUCAAUUUUUAUGUGCUAAGACAAACAAAUUACGCUAAAGAUGGCGAUUAGCAUAUUCUGACUACAACAAACAUCUUCCCAUUAAAAACAAAGUUUUCAAAUAAUGCAAAACACAAAUGUCCUAUCAGUUAGAUGUAACACCUUAUCUUGUUCGGUGGCUCCCAUUAGUCAAGUGUUGAAAUCAAAAGAGAAAGACAAGAAGUUCAGAAAAUGAUAUCUUUUGCUUCCGUUUUUAGUUUUCAUCAAUAAUUUUUUUUCAAAAACUAAUUGUCCGGUUAUAAUUUUCAAGCAAUGGCACCCAAAUGUGUGUGAAAACUAAGAAAUCGUGUAGAAAUGCAGAAACUAUAACUAGUAACUCAGUCAACGCCUGAAAAAUCACAUCUGAGAUAUAAAACUAUAACACGUUAUAAAAGUUGUAGAAAUUCAAUUGCGUCUUAUAAUAUCGUGACAGAUCUAUUGUUAAUUAAGCAUUUGUUAGAUAUCUGAAUAAGGACUUGACAAGCUUUUAUAAAAAGAUAUAUAAUAACAGAUUUUAGAGAUUCAUUUACUUGUUCCAUCUUCUAAGAAACCACGUGCUGAAACACCAUAGUAAUUUAAGGAAAAUGCAAGAUUGGUUUCGCCUCCCUCAAGAUGAGUCCAACAAUACCAAAACUGGACAAUUCAACGAUUCAAAAUGACCAUGCGGCAUUGAUUGGUCUAAUUAAGAAAGCAUGCAUCUCAUGAUUCAUGAGGCAGUAGAAUUUUUUAUAUGUCCUGUUGUCUUCACUAAACUCUUUCAAUUACUAUAAAAGCCAUACACCUAGCAUCCCAAUAUGCAUAAACAAACACAUACAUUAUUAAGAUUCCUCAUUGGAACACAAGAAAGAAAAGGUGCGAGAGAUGGAGAACUUCCCCGUGAUCAACUUGGCGAAUCUCAAUGGUGAGGAGAAGAAGGCUACCCUAGAGCAGAUUGAAGAUGCUUGCAAAAACUGGGGAUUUUUUGAGGUACCCCACGAACUGGCUCAUAAGAGCUUUCUCACACUCUUAACAUAUAAGUCUCCAUACAUUUGCAAGCUAAAGUUUUGUUGAUGUUGNNNNNNNNNNNNNNNNNNNNNNNNNNNNNNNNNNNNNNNNNNNNNNNNNNNNNNNNNNNNNNNNNNNNNNNNNNNNNNNNNNNNNNNNNNNNNNNNNNNNUAUUAUAUAUAUAUAUAUAUAUAUUAUAGGUUUUUUGUUUGUAUUAGUUGUAGUUAUAGUAAUUGUGAUGCAACAUUUCACAGGUAAUAAGUAAUGGGAAAUACAAGAGUGUGGAGCAUCGUGUGAAUGCUCGAAGUGAUGGGACGAGAAUGUCGGUGGCCUCAUUCUACAACCCUGGCAGUGAUGCUCUUAUCUACCCUGCACCACCAUUGUUGGAGAGAGACCCUUUGUACCCAACAUUUGUAUUUGAGGAUUACAUGAAGCUCUAUGCUACGGUCAAAUUCCAACCAAAGGAACCAAGAUUUCAAGCCAUCAAGGCUCUCAACUCUUUUUAGAAUACUUCCAACUCCAUCACAUGCAAGUCUCAACCAACACGAUACACUUCAAGAACAAUUAAAUAGAAAAAUGGAUAAAAGACCGCAGUAUGCUGCAAGAAAUAUUUAUUUUAUAAUUAUUCAAAUGCUUAUUUACAACACCUGAUUUGUUUACUUUCUUUAUAAUAUAUAAGUCAUUAUUCUUUGUUGGUAGUUGAUUUCUAGUAUUAUUUAUCUGCUCCAUUAUUUUGGAAAAUAAAAAGGGAAGUUUCAAGUUGGGUGUCAUUACCAAAAUGGUUACACUCUAUGCUUAAACAGGAAAGUUGCAUGAGAAAGCGAGAAAUAAAAAAUAUUUGGCGAUGCUUAUGAUAUGAUAAGACAUGAAUCCAACACCACACUGAUAUGGAAGAAUGUCCUCCUAUAAACUUUCAUCUUUAUCCCUUGCCUUUGGCACCCUAACAAAAAUUGCAGCCAGAUGAUCAACGUUGAGUGACACCUGAUCGAGGGGAAAGAAAGGGACAGGAAAACAAGUGGCAACAUAAAUGGGCAAUAUGACCUUCCCGUAUUUGUGACUGAACAGAAAAGAAUGGCCAGUGCAGAAAGAAACAAGCAAUGCAAUAAUGGAUAAGAAAACAGAACUUAAGCCGAGAAGAAGUUUGAGUGACAAUGUUGUGCGAUAAUCUCUGGUAGCUUUCUAGAAGUGAGGAUGGUAAGGAACACUCUAUGUCUAACAAUAGAGAAUCAAAGUAAAAGUUAAAUAUUGUCGAAUUUAAUUAAUAAAUAUGAAUCACUUUAAGGAUGAUUUAACUCUUUUACAAAUACUUCUUUCGAAAGGAAAAAGAGAUCUUAUAAACUUACCAAAAGCUGCCAAUUCAAACCAAUAGGGGACAAUAAAAGAAAAACAACACAACAUCAACCUACACAAACUAACAAAAGCUCUUGAUUUAAGUCAUAAUCAAGACACUAAUCAUAAAAAGAAAAAUAAGCAGAAGAAAAUUUAGUUGUAAUUCAGAACCAAACAUUUAGUUGAACCAAAGAAAGAAUUUCAGAAUGAUCAAUUACUCAUCUUCAAAGAUGUGUUUGUUUCUAUGCCUCUAAAUCUCACUCAUAACUGCAACAUAAACACUUCUCCAAACGACAUUUACAUAAACUGGGACAUUGCAUAAUUUAAAAUACAAGAAAUGUGAAAUAGAAUCAAUAUAACACUGGAUCUAAACUAGUCAAGCAAUUUUACAGUAAAAAAACAAAUGUCUUGUUGUCUCCUAUUCUUCUUCACACAUACAAGAGGAAUCUCUCUUCUAACCAAGUUAGUCUUAAAGGCCAUUAGAAGCCAUCGUAUUUUCCAACACUUUCUAAUAUGUAAAAUGAGUUGAAGUAAGAACCUUGAUUUUCCAAAAAGAAUAAAAAAAGACGACAAUCUUUCCGUGUGUAUAUAUAUACACGUAUAUCUUCUAUACUGACUAAUAGUGAUGAGUGAUCUAUUUUUUUUUUAAUAUUUUGAUAAAAAAUUACAUGCUAUGUUAUCAUAUCAUAAAAUACCAACAUUUGCUUAAACUUUUUCAAUCCUUAAAUUUACUUUUAAGAGUCAAAAUAAAUUCUAGUGCAACCACGCACUUAAACAUGAAAGUCUUAACCUACCUAUGGUAGACAAUGUGACAAAAAACUUAAACAUAGAACAUAACAUUACCUUUGAAGUUGCAAUCAAAAUUAUUUGAGUAUUAUUAAUUACACUAAGAAUGUCCAGAAACAAUUCUCCAAAAUCGCAAACUGGAAACGUUGCUACAAUUCAGAACUUUCUUCCUAGCUCACAUUUUACAUAUAAAUGCACACCUUUGAUAUCCAGACAACAAGGAUGUGAUACAAACAAAAAAAGAUUUGUAUGACAUUUAAACAUAAUGCCACACUGAAAUGAUAUGAUAGAGCUUAGGUUAGGUCCUACAACUUAUCUCCUUUAUCACUUGAUUGUGGAACCGUAGUUAAAAUGGCUGUUAGAAGAUCAAAGUAUAGAGGAAACUGUGCCACAGCAUAGAAUGUGACAGGAAAAAAAGUGGCUGCAUAAAUGGGGUAUAGGACCGUCUUGUAUCCGUGACUAAGCAGAAAAAAAUGGCCGGUGCAGAAAGAAACAAUCAUUGCAGCAAUGGAUACGAAAAGAGAACUCAAGCCAAGAAGAAGUUUGAGUGGCAAAUCUCUGCGAAAAUCUUUGGCUUGCUUUCGAGAAGUGAGGAUGGUAAGGAACAUUAUGAGACCAGUGACGGAAAAACAAAGUCCAACAAGCGAAGCAAUGGCAAAUACAUCGAAUGCAGGCUUGCCUUCUAAAUUAGGCCUACCUUGGUCGUCGGUGCCACCAGGGAUGCUGUUGGCUGCAGUGAAGGAAACACCAGCAACAAGUGCAGCCACAACAGAACAAGAUUCAGACGUAUCCUUCAGCCACUCUCCACUUUCCUCUAUCAGUUCUUUAUGUGUUUCCUCGAAGAUGUCCCCUGCGGUUUUCCCCUUCUUGUCACUUCUAAAGGAAAAGUGUUGUGGCACAAGGCCUUUAAUAUACUGCUCCAGAGAAAAACAAAACAUCAACAUUACCAUAAAUAUUGCAGUAAUUGUCUUUCAUUCAUCUACUCUUUCUACCGUUUCAUGCAAUCUUUUCUCUCUAAAUAUUGCCACUCUACAUUUAUAAUAACAUUGUAUUAUUAUGUGUGCUAGAAAAGUUAUUUUAAAAUAAUGUAACUAGAUCUAAAGAUCAAACUCAGAAAGUGUAAAAUUAAAUUAAGUAAAAAGACUUUGUGUUUGUGUAUACCUGAAACCACUUUAUAUCCCACACCAUUUGUAAGGCAGAACCAGCUAUCUGCCAAGGUUUAUCGCCGCCAGGAGCAUAUGCUGCCAAGUGUAACAUGGUGCUCUCAUCUUCAUCUACUGUCAGAAUUAAGUUAUUCCAAACUUCUGGUUUUGACUGCAUCUUCGUUUUCAAACACUGAACAACAAGGGGUUGCCUAUUCAGCACAGCCACAAGCAACACAUUUUCUUUCUUUGAGUUAGUGUUAUGGAUGACACUUGGAAUUCGAUAUAACAUUUCAUUCACCAUUUCAACUAUGCCAUUUCUUGCUGCAACCAAAAAGGCUGUCUCCUUUUUGUCAAUUUUUUCUUCUUCAGCUAGUUGAUCGGAUUCCUUCUUCAUGGUCUGACUUCGUUCUACAGUCUUUUUGUCAUCAACAUCUGUUUUAUUUUCUCCUUCCAACCAUCCUAACUCACUGGUUUCACCUGUCAGUACCAAUGCCAAACAAGGAAAAGUAGAGCUUGUUGUACUUCUUUAUAUAAAUUGAACAUAUACAUAUAAUAAAAUAUAAUGAUUCAGGGUUUUCACCUUUGAACUUAUAAAAAGACGAAAUAAGAAGCUUCAAGAAAUUAUAAAAAGUUCUACAAAAGGAUUUGGUUCUGAUAUAAAGAAAGAACCAUUAAUCCUUUAAAUUUGAAGCUAUAAUUUUCCGAGUUAUAUACCUUGUUUAUAUUGGCUAUAAACAUUAUACAUAUCUGUUUCAACUUUCAUAUCGGUUGGGACACCUCCACUUCCUGUAAAUGAUGCAUAAGGUCUUUUCAAUAGUGCCUUCAAGAGUUGACGACUCCAUACAUGCCUCUUCUUUGUCUUUCUUAUUUCCUUUAAUUCUUAAAAAGCAGGUGUAUUAUCAAUGGUGUUAGUUAAACCAUCUUGCCCUAGAUCAAUAUUUAGCAAGUAGCUAGUAAUAAAUCAAGAAAAUAACAUGAAGAAUCCAUACCCACUCCUGAGAGGCCAAGAGUAUGUACAUAUGCAGACCUAAUAAAUUGUUGAGAGGUUUCAUAAUUUGGAGGAAAAAGUCCAACCCGGGGAGUUCCCAAUUCAAUGGUACACUUUUUAAAUGACGGGUUUUCUGAGUCAUGCUGAUUCUUUGUCGAGGGCAUUUUUCCUUGACCAAAAAAAAUGCGUCAGAAAUAGAUUUAGCUUUGAGAAACCAGUAAAAAAAAAGGAUAUUCCAACUAAUUACAUGUAUUACUCUAACUGAUCCACUCCAAAAUCUUCCCUCAACAUUUAAACACUAAAAGAAUUAUAAUCUAGUACAAAUCACUGUUUCAAGGGCCAGGCAUACCAACCAAUGGAAUAUAUAUAUAAAUUUCAAAAUAUAUUAACUUUUGAUGAUAAAAAAAUAAUAAUAGACCAACUCUUAUAAUAUGAGUUACUCAAUUUUAAGGUUUAAAUAUAACAGUUAUAAUAGGGCAGCAAAGAUAAAAUGAAAAUAAAUUAUGUGAAAAACUUAUAAAACGUAAAUACUAUAGAUAUAGAAAACAAAAAAAAAACACUAUAAUUAGUUAUUUUAGUAAGAAACUUUCAAUUUGAAUAAAAACAAGUUUUUAAUAAGCUACUCUAAUAUAGUUCAGAAACUAAUUUAUUUGUUUUAUGAAACACACCAAACUUCCUUCUGUAUGAGUUAAACCGCUAGCCCUUUUUCUGAACUAUACUGUCUCUGAAGACGUGUGUAAUAAAGUAGGUUUGAGUAAAUAUUAAGUAUUAGUAAAGAAAAGAAUAAAGUUAGAUGACAUAAAGAAAACAAGAAGAUAGACGAUAUAGCAGAAUGAAAGUGUUCACAUACCAAAUAGAGCAAUAACACUAAACGAUCGAGCAAAGAAAUCAUAUAGUGUGGCAUAGUUCUUUGGAUAAUCCACUUUAUCAGACUUGGGAUUGUCCAAUAUCUUUCCCAGAUUCGCGUUCAUUUGUUUCACAGGAUCCAGUGGCUCUACAAGUAUACCUUUCACACACAAAAAAGUAAGCAGUAUAUGUAUAUAUAGAUAGAACUUCGUAUUUAUGACAGUAAAAAUGCACAUUUUAAAAACUUAUGUAAUAAUUUUUUUGAACACUUUUUAUAGUAUUAUAAAUUGGAGGUCUCAAGUUAGGUCUCAAGUUACUGUGAACAUAUAUUUAAACAAAACAUACACCAUUUUAAAUCUGAAAUUAGAAUACACUUAUACUUGGAAACAUGGCCCUUUCAACCUAGUUCGUGAUGUUAAUAUUACUUACAGUGGUACAGGAUUCGCUUCCACCAUGAAAGUUUGGUAGCACUUUUGAAAGCCGACGGCCUGGUUGCAAGGAGUUUGAGAGGAGUGAAUCCCUCUUUAUUCUUAUGUGUGCUAAGGAAAUCAUAGUAAUGCACUAUUAUCACUGCCAAAUCUGCACCAUAUCCAUAAAAGCAUAUAUACUAUUCAGUAUAUAGAGCGUUCUGUUAUUUCAAAAUAAAAAUACAACAUAUUAAGUAAAGUUGCUAAUCCUAAGUAAAGAAUAUAUCGUGUUGUUAAUCUACAUCAUUUCAACAACAAAUUCAAUCUCAAUUUAUCUUCCUCUUGUUCUAUACAAAGUGUUCCAACGCUGGAAUACCACCAACAAAAACAAUAUAUAUAUAGUAAUGAGAAUAUAUAGCCUCCAAGUAUAUCCACAAGCCCCCAACAUUUAUUAAGAAUUAAUAUAAUGUGAUAAUAUGUUACAUAAUGUUCGGAUAAAACUAUAACAUAGUGGUCUAAACAUAUCGAAAUAGUGAUAUAAAAUAUAGCAGGAACAGAAGAUAGGUAUGAGAAACAUACCGAAAUACUCUCUCCUGAUAGCACAGUGAAGAAUAGUGUCACCAUUGUGUCGCACAAGAUCUUGCAAGGGAGCGCUGUGGCCGGAAACUUUAGAAAGAUAAGCAAAGGCUUGUUUCUUCCAGUUGAUGGCAGCUCCAAAGAGAGGUGUCUCUCCAUGUUUGUUCUUUCGACUCACCAAGUAAAUCCUCUCGUUCUUCGUUCCUAUGAUCCACCUACAUAUCUUUGCGAAACCCCUCGAAGCCGCAACAUGCAGAGGAGUAUCCCCUCGAUCGUUCACCAUUUCCAGUGCCUUGAUCUUCACUUCAUGUCUGUGUCCGAUAACUGCAUUCACAAGGUCAUAAACCACAUCUUCUUCGUCCAAAUCCACGGCCACGUGCAAUGCAGUGCCCACGGAACCGUUAAUCAUUGCCGUGUGACAUGCUGGGACUUUGUUGUACAUCUUCACAACCUUCUGCCAUUUCCCUUCCAAUGUGUACUCCGCCAGCUGAUCACUCACUUCAUCUGAUGAAUUGUAAGACAACUCCUCCUCAAAAUUUCCAGGAUCCAUGCUUCUUGAACUUCAAUUAACGAGAAUGUAUGUUUGUCUCAACUACUGAAAUAAUGCGUUACUAUUUUCUGCAUGCGUCUUAUAUAUACCAAAUAAGGACUCUGAUACUUCAACUUCACAUGUUAUGUUAUGUUAUGUCAUGUCACUUUUUCUAGGUGACAAGGGAAGAAUAAUUUUUGGAGAUAGUAAGAUCUUGGAGGUUGUUAUGGAUGGACCAAUCUUCAAUGAGACUUUUGUGAACGAGGAAAGAAAAGAAAAUAUUCUAACCUACGCACACUUCAUCUUAGGCUCUUUUUCUCUCUUUUUUUCGCCAGCGGGGUCACAUAAGUGUUAUUGGUUUCUUAAGAAAAAACAAACAUUACUUAUUUCACUUCAGUAGCUCUGGUAAAGUACAAGUUCCAUAAACUUCUUCCUUUUUUUUCGACCGGCUGAUUUGUCAGGACCCUUUUUCUUUAGCCUCUUUUCACUGUUACUGAACAAAUUGCUGUUAACCUAACCAUUUUUCAAUAGACUAAAGUGCUGAAAAAUGGUAUUUUUGGUGCAUAACUUUAACUAGUGUUAAAAUAUGGUGGUCUGAAUUAUUUUACUUUAAAAUUACUGUGAUAGAAUAAUCAAAGAAUGAACAAUCAAGACAAUGAAGUCAUCAACUCUGCAUAUCAAAUACUAUUAGAAAGUUUUGAUCCUCAAAUUAGAAUUAGCCAAAACAUCAAGCACAAUAAGGAUAAAAGCAAUCACAAUGGUACAAUAAACAUAUUUGUAGGAAGGUCUUUUCUCUAUGGGCCGGGUUUUGGUUUGAAAAAAACUAUAUUGUCCAUUGGCAGGACGAUCCCAAACCUAGAAAAUGAUCGGGACUAUUUCUUCCUGCACCUCCAUAUAUUCUUCUGUCACCUCCACACAAAAUAUGAAAUUACUUUUUUAUUCUUCUUGUGUCACCCCCAUAGAGUAGCUUCCAGAUUAUGUAAUCCGAACACGCAUUUGAAAAAAGACUUCUGGAUUACAUAAUCCAUAAGCUUAAAAAGACUUCCAGAUUAUGUAAUCUGGAAACUAAUUACGAAUUUGAAAAAAGAUUACAUAAUCCAGAAUAUUACAAAGGAAUAUUUUUGGAAAUACAAAAAUUUAUGGAAGUGGAAGAAGAACAUAUGGAAGUGCAGGAAGAAACAGUCAAUGAUCAGUUAAGGUGGGUCGUGGGCACCAUACUAUGUAAAAAUACAUUUUUGUUCUUUAGUUAAAAAUAAAUUAAUCUUUAAAAUUUCACACAUCUUUUACAUCUUCUUUCUUCUUUCAUUUUAACUUAUCCGGUACACUAUUUUCUUGCAUUUGUUUGUCAUUGAUUUGAGUGUCUUUUGUUUUAUUUUAAACAUUCCAGAUUACAUAAUCUGUAAUAUUUUUUUGAUCUGGAAUUGUUUCUCUAGAUUUAUAGAAUCCAGAAACAAUUUAAAAAAAAUAAUAUAUAUUUCAGAUUACAUAAUUAGAAAGCUAAUCUCGAUUUCGAAAAUAGUUUCUAGAUUAUGUAAUGCAAAAUAUAUUUUAAAAGAAAUAAUAUUAUAGAUUACAUAAUUCGAAAGUCUUUUUCUGAAUUUGAGAAUAGCUGGAUUACAUAAUCCAUAAGCUAAUCUCAUAUCUAGAACAAAACUUCUAAAUUAUAUAAUUCAGAAACUAAUAUCAAAUCUGAAAAAACACUUAUGUAUUAAGUAAUUUGGAAGUUAAUCAUUGAUUUGAAGAGACUUCUGAAUUAUGUAAUUCAAAAUAUAAACUACACUUUAAUUUUUUUUACAGAAAAACAUUUUUGGAAUAAAAAAACUUAUGAGGGGAACUCAAUAACCUAACCUAUGGAGGUGCAGUAAGAAGCAACCAUCACUUAAUUGUGAGGGUCCCUUAUCAGCAAUGACAUGGUUGGUGUGUCAUAUAAGCUAAUUUGUAUGGAAAAAUUUACUUUUGACAACCUACAUUUUCUCUUGCUUGCAUUUAUCAACUAUAUAUUUAAUAAAAUAUUAAAUUAAAACAUAAAUUAAAUUAUUGAAAAAAAGACUAAUAAAAGUGAUUUGUGGAAUAGUAGUAUAAAGUUUGAUGGAAGUGAAAGUUUCAGGUCCCAAUUUAUAUACAAGGACAUGGGCAUAGCAGAACAUAUAUAAUAGUCUAUUUGAACGUAAAUAGAAAAAAGAGAGUAAAAUAUCUAUGUAUAGUCGGAAGGCGACCACCAUUGUUGAUAUGAAGAUUAGGAAGGGAAUAGCAUUAAAAUAGUUUUUGGAUCUUGAUAACAUAUUAUUUGCAGAAAAAUAAUAUGUUCACAGAAGACGUGACAAAACAAUAAGAGAGACAACACAAAAAAAGAAAGAAUUGUCUAUUAAAAAAUUGUUUUUGUAUCACUGCUUGGUAAAGAGAAUGUAAAUUGAAAAACAGUUUGCAGGCUGUGAUUCUCAUUUCUCUCAAUGUAAGGUUGAACUCAAAUUUAUUUAAAGCAUUACUGUUCAGAAACUUUUCUCCUCAAUCGGAACUUUCCAAGAAACCAACAGAACCUUGCUACAAUUCAAAAGCUAUUUUUCAUAGCUAAAAAAAAUGCAUUCACACCAAACUUGCUUGAUAUUUACCCGGAAAACAAGCUCACAAUCACUCUUAAAUAUCAAAAGGGAAAAUUGAUUUGAAUGACAAUUGCAUGAAUGAUGAAUCCAGCACAACACAUCCUAUAACUUGGCUCCUUUAUCAGCUGUCCAUGGCACCGUAGCUAGAAUGGCCGUGAUAAGAUCAAAGUAUAGUGGAAACUGUGCCACAGCAUAGAAAAUGACUGGUAAAACAGUGGCUGCAUAAAUGGGGUAUAGAACCAUCUUGAAUCUGUGACUAAGCAGAAAAUAAUGACCGGAGCAGAAAGAGACAAACAUUGCAGCAAUGGAUACAAAGAGAGAACUCAGGCCUAGAAGAACUUUGAAUGGCAAAGAUCUGCGAAAAUCUUUGGAUUGCUUUCGAGAAGUGAGAAUGGUAAGGAACAUUAUGAGUCCAGUGACAGAGAAGCAAAGUCCAACAAGUGAAGCAACGGCAAAUAUAUCGAAUGCAGGCUUGCCUUCUAAACGAGGCCUACCUUGUUCAUCGGUGCCACCGGGGAUGGCGCUGGCAGUAGCAAAGGAAACACCAGCAACAAGUGCAGCCACAACAGAACAAGAUUCAGAUGUUUCCUUCAGCCAAUUGCCACUUUCAUGUAUCAGGCUUUUAUGUGUUUCCUCGAAUAUUUGCCCUGCAGUUUUCCCCCGAUUGUCGCUUCUAAAGUAAAAGUGUUGUGGCACAAGGCUUUUAAUAUACUGCUCCAAUGAAAAACAAUAAAGGCUCAUUCUAUGAAAUACCCUAGUAAUCAAUGUACAAAACAUUAAAACAACAAUCUUGAUGUGUUGACAACUCAAAGUAACAUUUGUUUGUGUAUACCUGAAACCACUUUAUAUCCCACAUCAUUUGCAAGGCAGAACCAGCUAUCUGUGGAGACUUGUCGCCCCCUGGAGCAUAUGCUGCCCAGUGCAAUAUGGUGUUCUCAUUUUCAUCUACUGUCAGAGCUAAAUUAUUCCAAACUUCUGGUUUUGACUGCAUCUUCAUUUUCAAAUUCUCAACAACAAAGGGUUGCCUGUUCAUCACUGCCACCAGCAACACAUUCUCUUUAUGUGAAUUAGUGUUAUGGAUGACACUUGGAAUUCGGUUUAAAAUUUCAUUCACCAUUUCAACUAUGCCAUUUCUUGCUGCAACCAGAAAUGCUGUCUCCGUUUUGUCAAUUUUCUUCUCAGCCACUUUAUCACUUUCUUUCUUAAUUGUGUCACUUGGGCUUAAAGAUCUUUUGUCUAUAGCCUGUAUUUCUUUUUCUUCCUUUUCCAACCAUCUCAAUUCAUUAGCUGCACUAGCUUCACCUGUCAGUAUGAAGUCAAACCAGAAAAGGUAAACGUUGUUCUUUAUCUUCACAUACAUAUUUUACAGACAAAAGAAUUUUAUUAAUAAAACUUCUAAGCAUGUUUAAGGAGAUUGCUUUUUAAAUUUAUUCAUCAUUGUCAAUUUUUUAAAUUAGUUUUGAAGGUAUGGAAAUGACUAUAAAUCGUAUAGCGUAUCAAGUUUACAGCAUCUUUUAUUCAUUUGUUGAUUGUACCAUGUUAGACCCUUUAUUUAUUGGACGAUGAACUAGAUGUUUACUAGUGUUAGACACUACAUAAUAGUUUUUCUGAUUUCUAAUAAACUUAGGUUUAUAAACUAAAUUAUUGAAAUAAAAAUUAAUUUUAAAAAUGAAAAUAAUUAGUCGUUAUAUUAACUAAAUUAGAAAAUCUUUUAUAAACUAAAACAUUAUUGAAAUCUAAAAUAGUUUCUAUUAUUAAUAAAAAUUUAUAAAGUAGUUUCUAAAUUAGUAUCUAACUAUUAUUUAUUAACUACUUAGGUUUAGUAUUUCUUAAUCCUUUCAUAUUCAUUCUAUGUAAUUAUUUCUUUAAACAAAGUCUAUUUCUUCAUAGAUUUUGACUUGAGCUUCAUCCAUCAGACACUGGGUGCUAGUUCAAAAACAUCGAAACAAUUGUGUAUUUAAAUUAUUGAAAAGUGUAUUUAAGCCUAACUCAGAUUCUAUAUAAUUAAUCUAAGAAGAGUGAUAGAAAACACAUAAAUUUCACGUAAUAUAGUUAGCAUAAGAUAGAGAGUUGGUUUUUGCAUACGUACAUACCUUGUUUAUACUGGUUAUAAACAUUAUACAUAUCUGCUUCAACUUGAAUAUCAGUUGGGACACCCCCACUUCCUGUGAAUGCUGCAUAAGGUCUUUUCAAUAGUGCCUUCAAGAGUUGACCACUCCAUUCAUGCCUCUUCUUCGUGUUCCUUAUUUCCUUUAAUGCUUAAAAAAGCACAUCAAACCAGAUCAAUCCUAUUAAUUAAACCAUUAGCUAGCAAUAGAUCAACAAAUUAGCACCAAGAACACAUACCUACUCCUGAGAGCCCAAGAGUAUGUACAUAUGCAGACCUUAAAAAGUGUUGACUGGUUUCAUAAUUUGGUGGAAAAUAUCCAACCUCGGCAGCUUUAAAUACGAUUUUACGCUUCUUCUUUGAUGGUUUUUCUGAAAAAUGUGUAAGAAAUACAUUGAGUAUUGAGAAACUAGUCCCCCAGAAAAGAAAGAAAAAAAGAGAAGAUAGAAUCAGAACCCGUUACCAAUUGGAGCAGCAAGACCUCUGAAUAUAGCAAAGAAGUCACAUAAUGUGACAUAGUUCUUUGGAUAAUUCAGUUCCUCAGAUUCUGGUUGCUUCUUCAUCUUUUCCAAAAUUUUCUUCAUUUGUUUUUCAGGGUCCACUUGUUCCACAAGCAUACCUUUUGACAAAAGAAAAAAAUAUUUGCAAUGUACAUAGAAAUUUUACAGAUUAUUGUACUUACGAUUAGUAAGUGUGAUCAUUUUUAAAAAUUAUAUAUCACUAAUCAAGCUAAUGGAUCAAUAAUCCUCUCUUUUCUAAACAAAAUAAAGCAUACGCCUGUAAUUAACCUGAUUUAAAUCUGAAACUAGAAAGUUUUUCUUAUUUUACCAUUGAAAGUUGUCAAAUUAAUUUUAUUUUAUAUACAUGAACAUGAUUUUAGUAAAACGAUGGACAUUUGAUGAUUGUUGGACAAAUUGAUUUAUCAUUUGGUUUGGUGAAGUAAAGGCAUUAUGCUGUUUUUUGGGUGAGUUUAAGCACUUGACAGCUGUAAAAGCUCCGCUCUGUGAAUCUGGAGCAGCAAGAAAUUGAAAGCUAAAGUGAGGAAAAUAUUUCUUGGGAGAAUUUGGUGCAAUUUUGUAGAACCUCAGAGUUGGGAUUAACGGCUGUAGGUGCAGGGGAGGUAUCAUGCAGAGGUGUCACCUAGAGGAAGCAAAUGGCGUGGGGGUAGUUGGUAUGCAGCUUUUGAAGCUUCAAUUUUGGAUUCAUGAUUCUGGUCUAGAGGUUAUGAAGCUAAUCUAUGAGGCAGCAGUUGGUAAUGCUAAGCAGCUAUGGUAUGGAAAGGGUGCUGACAGAGAGAUUCUGUGUGUAUGGGAGCAUCAUUAUGGGGUUUCUAUGACUUUCUCCACGAGGUCAUGCAGUUGUUAAAUGCUUUAGGAAGCAGAAGGGGAUCUAGGAAAAGUUCUUUUGGCACUAGCAGGGGGCACUGGUGUUAAUGCUACAAGGGUCAUCAAGAACCAAGCAAACGGAUGCCAAUUGGAAGGGAGAAAGUUUUCUGGUCCUGUUUUUGGUGCUGCAUACUGCAUAAUUAUGCAGCUCUUGUUCUGUUUUUGGUGCUGUAUACUGCAUAAUUAUGUAACUUUUAGCCUUUGGUUAAGCUGUUUUUGUGUAGGAAGCAGUGUGGAUUUGUUUUUAUGAUGUAUUUUUGAAUUUGUAGUGAUUAUGAACUUGUUAGUUACAUACAGAGGUUGAAGAUAUUUGUAUAAAGAUUCAGAUACCCGAAUUGUUGUCUUUUAAUUAUUAUUUAUUCAUUGCUCAUAAAAAGUUAAAAGAAUUUAAACUUUUAUUUGAUUAAAACUGAUAAAAUAGUAGCUUUUAAGUAAAAUGGAUAGUUUACACUGAUACAAGUAUCUAAAUAUUACUUCAUUUCAUGAAAUACGGUGUAUAGAUACGAUAUAUUAACAUCGUAGAUAUAUAAUAAUACUUGGAUGGUGAUAUAGUAGAAAACAUACAGAUAACAAACCAGUAAAAUAAUAUUUUCCAGAAUACUUACAGUGGUAGAGGAUUCGCUUCCACCAUGAAAGUUUGGUAGCACUUCUGAAGGCCGAGGGCCUAGUAGCAAGGACUGUGAGAGGGGUUAAUCCCUCUUUAUUCUUAUGUGUGCUAAGGAAAUCAUAAUAAUGCACUAUUAUGACAGCCAAAUCUGCGCCAUAUCCAUAAAAACAUAUACACAUUAAUGAAAGAAUUAAUAUAAUGUAAUAAUGUGGUCUAAAAGAAGAUAGGUAUGAGAAACAUACCAAAGUACUCUCUCUCGAUAGCACAGUGAAGAAUAGUGUCACCAUUGUGACGCACAAGAUCUUGCAAGGGAGCGCUGUGGCCGGAAACGUUAGAAAGAUAAGCAAAGGCUUGUUUCUUCCAGUUGAUGGCAGCUCCAAAGAGAGGUGUCUCUCCAUUUUUGUUCUUUCGACUCACCAAGUAAAUCCUCUCCUCCUUCGUUCCUAUGAUCCACCUACAUAUCUUUGUGAAACCCCUCGAAGCCGCUACAUGCAGAGGAGUAUCCCCUCGAUCGUUCACCGUUUCCAGUGCCUUGAUCUUCUCUUCAUGUCUGUCUCUGGUAAUUUCAUUCACAAGGUCAUAAACCACAGCUUCUUCGUCUAAAUCCACGGCCACGUGCAGUGCAGUGCCCACGGAUUCGUUAAUCAUUGCCGUGUGACACUCUGGGACACGCUUGUACAUGUCCACAACCUUAUCCCAUUUCCCUUCCAAUGUGAACUCUGCCACACAGUCACUCAAUUUAUCUGAUGAAUAGUUCGUCAAAUCCUCCUCAGAAUUUUCAAAACUUUCAGAAUUUUCAAAAUUUCCAGGAUCCAUCCUUCUUGAACUUGAAAUAAUAUGAGAAUUAUGUUUGUAUGUAUGUAGUGUUAUUUAACAUGGCAGGAGGAGACCAUUGUAGCACUGAUGCUUCAACUUCACAUGUUUUACCACUUUUCUAUUUGACACGGGAAGUAUAAUUUGAGAGUACUGUCAUGAAUGGACCACUCUGAGUUUAUGACACUGUAGCAAACACCAAAGAAGAGAAAAAGAAAACAUAUAUUCAUAUGGUUAUGAUGAAGAAAUAAUCUACGUUACACUUUUUUAAAUACAUUUUUUUAGUAAUUUAUUAAAAAAUAUACAAAUGUUAUUAGUCUUACAUUUUGUUUAGUAUGAGUUGUAUGAUUUAAGAGGAAGGAAGAUAAAUAUAAAAAAAAAUAUUACUUUCACAACAUUUUUGUUUUACAUCUUCUAUUAGUCCACAUUUCACAAUAAAAGAGUAUUUCUCAUUUUUUUUACUUCUAUUAAUUAUAUUAUGGAAUAAUUUGUUGUUAGAUUGUGAACAUAUGAGAACUCAUAAAUAAAAAUAUAUAUAUAGAGUAAUAAUAAGUUGAUAUUGGAUUAUCUUCCUUUCACAUUUAAAUAAAUUUAUUAUUUUAUUAUAAUAAAAUAAAAUUGUAGAGUGAUUUUUUUUCCUUUGUUAAACAAACUUUAUAUAUAUAUAAUAUUGUAAAAGAAUUAUUAUUUGGUUUGAGAUCAGUCUCAAAAAUGUUUUUUUUAUUAAAUCGCUUUUCAAAUUAAUAUUAUCACUGAACCACUCCAAAUUGUUGGGAGUGGCCUACUGAGUUUAUUGGAUUCGAAAGAAAAAUAAAGGGUUACUUGUACUACAAAAAAGUACAACCUCCAUUUUUUGUUCUUUCUGUUGAUUCUUUUUCUUCAAUUUUUCUGUUUAUUAGUAAUGGUAGCUGUAAUGACCUUUGGUUUUUUAUUCUUUUCGACUUCUCAGUGUGACUGAACAACAAAAUUUGGAAAAAAAAAUAAAGCAGAAAAAUAGUUGUUGCUCCAUGGGCUGCAGAGAACUGUUAUUGUAAAUUGAUGGAACCAAUUAUGUGUUUGGAAUUUUGUUAGGAAUUUCCUGAGAAGUUAUGAUAGAAUGAAAAAGAAAUGGGAUGAGAGGAGACUGACAAUGUUAUUAACUUAAAAUUGAGUGUAGAUAAAGAAAGGAGAGUGACAAUGUUAUUAACUUAAAAUUGAGUGUAGAUAAAGAAAGAAAUAUUGCGUGGUAAAAUUUUACACUAGUUAGAGGUUAAUAGUAGUUAAUAUACAUUUUUUUUCCUUUUAAUUCAUUAUAUUUUAAUUCAUUAUAUGGAGGCAUACAAUUUCAGACUCAAUUCUCUAUCUAGCACCAUUUACUCUUUUAUUUUCCUAUCUAGCAUCAUUUUGUUUUUAUUUUCCUAUCUAGCACCCUUUUAUUUUUAUUUCCCUAUCUAGCACCCUUUUAUUUUUUAUUUCCCUAUCUAGCACCAUUUCAAAAAAUAAAUAAAUAAAUAAUAAAUUUUUUUUAAUUUUAAUUUUGAAUACAUUAAAAUUUAAGUAUUUUUAAUGUUUAAAAUAGUUAGAAAUAUAAUUAAUGAAUAAAGAAAUGAGAUUUUACAAAAUAAAAAAAAAGUAAUAAAUUAAAAAUGUUUAGUUUAAAUUUUUUUUAAGAAUGAAGAAAAUAAAAAAUUAAACUCUACAACAACAUAAAAGUUGAAUCUAUAAACAUAAAUUAGUAUUUAUUUUUAUUAUUAUUGAUGAUGUAAUCAUGUUAAUUUCAAGUAAAAAAUACAAGACAUAAUUUUUUUUAUAAAAAUAAGUGUAUUUUUAGAAGCCUAGUGUGUAAUUUGUCUCUUUUCUUUGUCUUUUCUGAUAUAUAUAUAUUAGUCUUCUUCUUUGGUUAAAAAAAAUUAUAAAAAAAUCAAAGUCAAUUAGUAUUAAUUAAUAUUGAACGCACAAAUAAUAUUGAAGUGUUUAUCUACCCUAAAUGCAAAAUCCUAAAAAAAACUAAUGCAAUUGCUACACUUAAUGCUUAAAAAUGAGAAGAAGAAAAAUAUAAAAAUAAAUAAAUAUAGAAAAUAAAAACAGCAACAUUGAAACAAAUCUUUCAUGUUACGAAAGACUAUUUGAUGGAACUCCUAAGAGAUGAAGAGUAUUAACAUGCAUACACUGGUCAAAUACUAUGCCAAAGUCCCAACAUGAAAAUAACCUCAAAGGGGAUACCUAAGUCAAGUCGAAUAAGGACUGAUAUGGACAUAAGAGAAUACCAUGAUCGAACAAACAAAUGUUCAUAUUGUCAAACACCAUGACACAAAAAGAACAUGUCCCAACAUUAUUGGAUUGUGCACUUCUCGUCAUUAAUUAUAUUUCAUUUCGCACAAACUAUUUAAUGUACCAUUAAAGAAAAUAUUAAAUGAAUGAUCAUCUUUCAUUUUUUUUUUUUAUGAUCAACAUCUACUUAUUUAGUAUCGUCUUAUAUCUCUUAUCUUUAUCUUGUUUGGAUUUUUACUUUUUUGUAUAUCUUGUAUAUUUAUCUUAUUUUGUUUUGUCUUUAUUUUAUAUCUUAUAUGUGUUUUAGUUAUUAUUUUUUUCUGUUAUUGUUUAUUUAUUUUUGUUUUUUGUUUUUGUUUUAUUAUUGCUGUUUUUAUUUUCUAUACUUAUUUAUUUUUGCAUUUUUUUCUUCUCAUUUUUAAGCAUUAAGUGUAGCAUUUGCAUUAGUUUUUUUUAGGAUUUUGCAUUUAGGGUAGACACUUCAAUAUUAUUUGUGUGUCCACUAUUAAUUAAUACUAAUUGACUCUGGUUUUUCUAUAAUUAUGUCCUAUAUUUUUUACUUGAAAUUAACAUAAUUACAUCAUCAAUAAUAAUAAAAUUAAUACUAAUUUAUGUUUAUAGAUUCAACUUUUAUGUUGUUGUAGGGUUUAAUUUCUUAUUUUCUUCAUUCUUAAAAAAAUAAUUUUAAACUAAAAAUUUUUAAUUUAUUAUUUUUUUAUUUUUAUUUUGUAAAAAGUCAUUUCUUUAUUCAUUAAUUAUAUUUCUAACUAUUUUAAACAUUAAAAAUACUUAUAUUUUAAUGCAUUCAAAAUUAAAAUUAUAAAAAAAAAUUAAUUUAUUAUUUAUUUAUUUAUGAAAUGGUGCUAGAUAGGAAAAUAAAAAAUAAAAGAGUGCUAGAUAAAGAAAUAAAAACAAAAGGGUGCUAGAUAGAGAAAUAAAAACAAAAGGGUGCUAGUUAGGAAAAUAAAAGUGUAAAUGGUGCUAGAUAGGGAAUUUACCCUACAAUUUCAAAGUAACAAUAACUUAAAUAUGAAGAUUAAUAUUAAUUUUAUCUUAACCAAUUAAAAAUAAGUCUCAUAUUUUUUGUGAAGAAAAUGCAUCUACUCAUAAGUUGACUAAUUUAAUUAUUCAUAGAGAAUAUUUAUUUCAUUGGUAUAAUAGACUUUCAUAUAGUCAGUUAUUAGAAUUCUUUAUGAAUAUAUAUAUAUAUAUAUAUAUAUAUAUAUAUAUAUAUUACUUAGUUUUAGUUAGUNNNNNNNNNNNNNNNNNNNNNNNNNNNNNNNNNNNNNNNNNNNNNNNNNNNNNNNNNNNNNNNNNNNNNNNNNNNNNNNNNNNNNNNNNNNNNNNNNNNNUUAACUUAAGACCGUCAUAUUGUAGAUGAGCAAUGAUCAUCCAAUCUAUUUCUUUAAUGUGUAUCAUUUUUCCGCAAAUCUCAAUGGCAAGGUGACCAGCAGGUGUGAAUUUUGCAUUUGUAUAAAAUACUCUUACCAAAUCCUCAUAAUACGGAAGAUUAAUUCCAAGGAAAGGUUGUAAAAUUGCCAAUUCAGAAGAUUUUGGAAUUCAAAUCCUGAACCAACAAAAAAUGGAGUAUGCAUCACUUUUGGUGGUAAUAUUGCUCUUGCGUGAAAGUUCUUUUCAAAAACCACCAUUUGACGCCUAGUACUGAAGUAUCUUGAAUAAUCAAGAACUUCUGGAAUCCUCGUUGGUGGAGAAGGAAUGUCAACAUCUUCUGCUGGAGAUUUACCCUUACGGGUUCUGUUACGUUUGUGGGAUGAUGAUGUCAUUUAUAAUGCAAUUACUACAAUAAAUAACUAAACAGAAGUUAACAUAAUAUCAUAAAGCAAUAAUGCAAGUUCAAAAACCAAAAUAUUACAUUGCUAAUGAAAGUAGAAGUUCACAGAGCAAAAUAUUACAUGUCCAAUAACUAACACAGACAAUCAAAUAUUACAUGCCCAAUAACUAAGAAAGACAGUCAAAUAUUACAUGUCCAGCUACUAACAAAGACAGUCGAAUUUUAACACCAAUAAUUAAUGUGAAAUACAAAUUAAAAAAAAAUUAAGUCAAAAUCAUAUUUUUACUCAAAACUUUGACUGUUUUUUUAAAUUACUAAAAAUCUUUUUUAAUGUUUUUAAUUAUAACAUUAAUAAAUUAUGUUAAAUCUACAAAAAUGAAAACCCUAUAAAAAUAUUUUUAAAAUUUUUAAUUUCAUUAUGUCUAAAUUAAAUUUUGUAAAUCUUUUUUUAUGAACAAUUCAUUUUUAAAUAAAUAAUAACUUUGUACAUUUAUUAUUAAAAUAUCAAUUAAAAAUACAACUUCUAAAAUAUCAAUUACUUUUUAAAAAACCUACUAAUUACAAAUUUCUAUUUCAAAUUGUAAAAAUAUUCAUUGUACCUUAAUCAUUAAUUUUAUUCUUUAAUCACUACAACAUUCUGUAAAAAUAUUAUUUCUUAUAAACAAUUUAAUUUUGAAACACUAAUUACUAUCUAAAAUUAUUAUUAAAAAUUCAUAUUUCUUAUGUAAUGUUUUUCUGACUUUUUAAAUUACUAUAACAUUUUUUUAUAACAUUUAAUUCUAACACCAAUAAUUAAUGUGAAAUACAAAUUAAAAAAAAUUAAGUCAAAAUCAUAUUUUUACUCAACACUUUGACUGUUUUUUUUAAUUACUACAACAUUUUUUUAAUUUUUUUAAUUAUAACAUUAAUAAAUAAUGUUAAAUCUACAAAAAUGAAAACCCUAUAAAAAUAUUUUUAAAAUUUUGAAUUUUAUUCUGUCUAAAUUAAAUUUUGUAAAUCUUUUUUAUAAACAAUUCAUUUUUAAAUAAAUAAUAACUUUGUACAUUUAUUAUUAAAANNNNNNNNNNNNNNNNNNNNNNNNNNNNNNNNNNNNNNNNNNNNNNNNNNNNNNNNNNNNNNNNNNNNNNNNNNNNNNNNNNNNNNNNNNNNNNNNNNNNNNNNNNNNNNNNNNNNNNNNNNNNNNNNNNNNNNNNNNNNNNNNNNNNNNNNNNNNNNNNNNNNNNNNNNNNNNNNNNNNNNNNNNNNNNNNNNNNNNNNNNNNNNNNNNNNNNNNNNNNNNNNNNNNNNNNNNNNNNNNNNNNNNNNNNNNNNNNNNNNNNNNNNNNNNNNNNNNNNNNNNNNNNNNNNNNNNNNNNNNNNNNNNNNNNNNNNNNNNNNNNNNNNNNNNNNNNNNNNNNNNNNNNNNNNNNNNNNNNNNNNNNNNNNNNNNNNNNNNNNNNNNNNNNNNNNNNNNNNNNNNNNNNNNNNNNNNNNNNNNNNNNNNNNNNNNNNNNNNNNNNNNNNNNNNNNNNNNNNNNNNNNNNNNNNNNNNNNNNNNNNNNNNNNNNNNNNNNNNNNNNNNNNNNNNNNNNNNNNNNNNNNNNNNNNNNNNNNNNNNNNNNNNNNNNNNNNNNNNNNNNNNNNNNNNNNNNNNNNNNNNNNNNNNNNNNNNNNNNNNNNNNNNNNNNNNNNNNNNNNNNNNNNNNNNNNNNNNNNNNNNNNNNNNNNNNNNNNNNNNNNNNNNNNNNNNNNNNNNNNNNNNNNNNNNNNNNNNNNNNNNNNNNNNNNNNNNNNNNNNNNNNNNNNNNNNNNNNNNNNNNNNNNNNNNNNNNNNNNNNNNNNNNNNNNNNNNNNNNNNNNNNNNNNNNNNNNNNNNNNNNNNNNNNNNNNNNNNNNNNNNNNNNNNNNNNNNNNNNNNNNNNNNNNNNNNNNNNNNNNNNNNNNNNNNNNNNNNNNNNNNNNNNNNNNNNNNNNNNNNNNNNNNNNNNNNNNNNNNNNNNNNNNNNNNNNNNNNNNNNNNNNNNNNNNNNNNNNNNNNNNNNNNNNUUAUGCACCAUUACUAAAAAAAGCUCUCACCUCAGACGAACCCAGAUGAAUCACACAGAUCAACCCAGGACGUGAGAUGAACAAGGUAUCCUAACACAAACUAUGAUGGCUUAUAGGAAUCUCUCCAACCACACUACCUUGCACUCUCUAAUGGCUCGGUUUCUUUGGUUUUCUGUGAAUGGAGGAACCACCUUCAUGUUGUUAUAUAGCCAGCUUCACGCCCACCUACCUCACCCACUGCAUUCACUCUCCUUUCACAGUUUCACACAGAGUCAAACGAUUCCUGAGCCAAGUCAGGAAUCUCAUGGCUUCAUGUGGCAUGCAUGCAGGGCCAUUGUUCCUCUUAUUCCAGCAAAAACAAGGGCAACUUUGUAACUUCCUUCGGAUGACUUGGCACUCCCACUCUACAGUGCAACUUUCUCUUCAUCUUUGAGCAGAAGGCGAAUUCACUCAACUUUCUUCGUCCUUCCACACUCACCCGCAACCAUGCAUGGAUCCAAACGAGGUGUUGUUGUGACUUCUGUCGUCGACAACAGUACCUCCCCUGGAUCCAAACAGGGCCUAAGUGUGUAAGAGUUUGGGCCUGUGCUCAUUCUCCCGAUUGUUUCUUUCCGUAUUUAUGCAUUAAUCCUAUUUUCUUUAAAUAUUCAAAUUAUCUUUAAUAUUAUGAUUUAAAAUAGAAAAUAUUUUUAAUUAAAAUAUAUUUUAAAAAUAAAAAAUUCAUAGAAUAAAAAAUCAUUCUAAUUUUUUUUUUGGAAUAUAUUUUUUAACUUUUGAAAUGUUAAACUUAAAAUUCAUAAAAUGUAUUUUGAAAAAUAUAUUUUGAAAAUACUUCAAAAAAAAAAUAAUUUGUAAAUCAUGGGAUAAAAUAGUAUUUUUAAAAAAUGAUAGGGUGCAAGGAGAAAUUUGUUGGGGGUAUUCUCCAUGGUCUAAAUCUAGGUCAAUCUUCUCACCAAAAAAUGAUUUUAAACUUUUUUUCUUAUUUUGAAAGUUUUUUUUUUAUAUUUUUUAUCAAUAAAAAAAAAAUAAGAACAAUUUUAAAGAUGAUAUAAUCAUUUUACAUAAUAAAACAAAAAUGAUCAACAACUACUCUCAAAAGAGAUACCCCGAAAGUUUAUCAAAAGCUGUUAACUCAAAACCACCAAUGACACUUUAGAAAAAGAAUCAACGGAUUAAGAAACCAAUAAAAAAAAUGAAAAUAUGCAAAAACAAAUAUGUAGUUAUAAUCCAAUUAAUAAAACUUGAUAAAAUAGUUCCUAAAGUGAUAUCUAAAUUAGUUAUCUAAGUUUUAAUUACUAAUAUUUUAGAUUCUAAAUUGGUUUCUAAAAGAAUAAUAGAAAAUAAUUUAGAAUAUAAAAUAGUAAGUAGUUAAAACCUUUGGUAGAUAAGAAUUAGAUACCAAUUUAAAAACUAUUUCAUAAAUUUUUAUUAAUAAUAGAAACUACUUUAAAUACCAAUAAUUAUUUUAAUUUAUAAAAUAUUUUUUAAUUUAUUUAAAUAAUAACUAAUUAUUUUAAUCUUUAAAAUGUGUUGUCCUCUUAUAGUAAAUUAGAUGUUGUUUAGGCUAAUCAAUCUAGCAUUGGCUGCUGAUGUUUUGAUAGCAUUGUAUUGGUAUAGGGAUUGAGUUUUGUACAAGGUUAGAAUCUUAAAUACUUUAUUUUAUUUUAUUUAUUUUUUAUUGAUAAAAAAAUAUUUUCAAGAAUCAAGAUGAAUCGUUCAAACUUCUUUUCUCACAUUUUGUGCUAAAAUUCAUCUCCUUUCCUUAUUAAGACACUGCUGUCAUGAUGAAGAUAAGCAAUGUUCUUCUAUCUUUCAAAUCCGUGUUGUUAAGUUUGACUUAUAGGUUUUACAUUUCAUUAUGAUAAUAAUUAACCUUUUUGUGAAAUGUAAUUAUUGUCAAUUAGACUACAAAAGUACCCAUGUUUGAUGUACAUGCAUCAAUUAAGCUUUGGUUGGAGUACAUUAAUUAAAAUAAUAUCAAAUUUAUAAUAUAUAAAUAAAAAUAAUGUUUACUUCACAAAUCGAUUUUGAAAAAAUUAAUUAGAUUCAGAAUCACUUUCUUAUUGUUUUUGUAUAAAGUGCAAUAACUAUUAUGUAGUACACGAAUAGAUAUAUGUGAAGGUGCAUGUAGGAAUUUGAAAAAAAGAAUAAAGAACAUUUGUUUUAUUUUAUUUUUAAAAAAAUUAUAUUUUUUAGGAUAUUAUACUUUUGUUAUGUGGACUUUAGAAAGUUUUAUCCAUUUUCCGAAAGCAAAAAAAUGUGAGCCUUACGAAAAUAUUACACCAGAAAGUAGCAAAAGCCAUGCACUCAAUGAAGAAGAUACUAGACACAAAAUCUAGUAGCCAUUCAUGCACCUGCCUUUUUCCUCUGGACCCAAAUAAAUAAAAGCAUAUUUAAUUUCAUUCAUGUGUUUCACAACCCAACCACACUAACGUGAUCUUUGGUGCAUGUACAAUGGAGAUACUAGAACAGAGUUUUAAUUAAAAAAAAACUUAUUGUUAGACAGAUUUUAAUGGCUUAUACAUUAACUAACAAUAAUUUAUUCACUUUUAACCAAAUUUACCUUCUUCACUAUUUUUUUUACUUAUUAGACUAAAAUAUUAUUUAAGAUAUUCGACCCUACUUCUAAUACACUACCCAUAAUGGGUUAUACAUUAACUAACAAUAAUUGAUUCACUUUUAACAAAAUUUACUUUCUUCACUUUUUUUUUUAUCUAUAAGACUAAAAUCUUAUUUAAGAGAUUCGACCCUAGUUCUACUACACUACGCAAGAACUGAGGAUUAGUCUACUAUGAACUGAGGUAAUAAAACAGUAUCUUGCUCAACCAACAUAAUUUUUUCACCCAAGUACAUGUUACAAUUAGUCCAUAUUUGUUCAGCAAAUGGCACCAACAUACACAACAACUUUUAGUUUCCUGACAAACAAAGUAUUUGUCCAACGAGAAUUGACUCACCCAAUAAUCAAAAUUCUCCACCUUUUAAUUAAAUAAUCACUACAAAAAAAAUCAUAAAAAAAAACUAAUUUUUAAUAACAAAAAUAAUUAAUUGUUAUAUUAAUUAAAUUAAAGACGAUUUUAGAGAUUAAUUUUUUUUUUAUUUCUAGAGUAGUUUUUAUUAUUGUUAAAUGGUUUCUAAAUUGGUAUCUAUUUAGGAAUCACUGUUUUUAUUACCAAAUUUAGAAACUAAAUAAUUGGUAGUUAAAACUUUGGUUGCUAAUUAGGUAUCAAUUUAGAAACCAUUUAACAAUAAUAUAAACUAAUUUAGAAACCAUUUUUUUAAUUUUUAAAAUAGUAUCUAAUUUAAUUACUAUAGCAACUAAUUAUUUUUUAUCUCUAAAAUUAGUUUCUGUUUCAUGUUUUUCUUGUAAUGAAAUUUCAUCUAACAAGAGUUUUACUCGCCCAAAUAUAUAUCCAUAAAUUUAUCAUCAAAUAUGUUUUUAUAAUUAAAUAAAAAUUGAAAAUAUAUUACAUCAACAGAACAUUUUAAUUAAGUUUUUUUUUUCUUCACAUGCAAAAAAAAUAUCAUUCCACAAAAUAGCACAUGGAAGGCAAUGAACACUUCACAUGCCAAACGUGGCGUGGCAAGUUUUUCCGAAUGUGAUAGUUUUGUUUUUGUCAGGAUUUAAAAAAACCUAAAAGAAGCAAGUUCAUAUGGUGAGAAAGAAUAACAUGCUCUGUUAAAAGUUCUAAAUUAUUGUAAAAAGUUUAUUUUCCAUUACUAUAUAAGUUGUUUUCGUAUAAAUUUCUUAGGAAAAAAAAUAUGCCAUUAGUUGAACAUAACACAGUUUGAAUGAAAUGUUAAACUCGAGCCAUAUAUGUACUUUAAUCACUGUCAAGAUUAAAUAUUUGGUUUUUGAAGAUUUUUAAUUUGAAAUGUAUGAAACUCUAACCUUUGUUUUUUUUAAAGAAGUUGUUACAUAAAAAUGAAGGAUUUGUCUCUUUUUAUAAGAAUUUUUUACAUAAAAAUGGAGGUUUCGUCUUGGAGUUGUGGUGGUGAGUAAAAGAGACUUGGAGGUUCUUCAUCCUCAACAACAAAAAAAAAAAAUAUAUAUAUAUAUAUAUAUAAAAUUGUAUAAAACAACACACCACUCUAUCUCAAAUUAGUAAUUCUAAGUUUGACGUUGCCAUUAGUAAUUGUAAUAAUUUAUUUUUGGUUAAAACAUGAAAGUAUGGAAAUGAUUAGAUUAUGGGAACUAGGAAAAAAAUUUAGGGGCCACAUGUGGAUGAUGAAGGGAAGCUUCUGGUUAGUUUAGAAGAUUUAGAAAACAGGGAUAAGAUGUUAAAGUCAGCAAGGGACGGUGGAGUUAAUCUGGGUAAUCUAUGAAAAUUAUAUCUAUGAAUGUAAGAGGUUUUGGGAACCCUGUGAAGUGAAGGUAUAAAAAUGUUAUGCUUACAAGAAGUUAAAUAGCUAACUUUUAGUAAAGAAAAAUGUUGUCAGCUUUGGGGAUAAUGAUAAUGGGUAUUUAUAUAACGAACCUUUUAAUGGGGUAGGAGGAAUUCUAACGGUUUGGCAUAAUAAUUUUUUCCAGUGCAUUAACCACAUCCUCAAAAAAUGGUCCAUAGCGUUCAUAGGAGUCUUUAAAGAGAUUAUUAUACCUGUUGUUAUUGUAAAUGUGUACUCAUGAAGUAAAUUACAAGAGAAAAUGAAAAUGUAGGAUGAACUAAAAGUUGUAAGACUAAGGAAAGCUUGCAAUUCCUGGUGCGUAUUGAGGGAUUUUAAUUCAAUAAGAAAGGAGGGGGGUAAACUGUGGCAGAAGUAAUAAGAGAGAAAUCCAAGGCUUCAACAACUUCAUCGAAAGUAUGGAGAUGGUUGAUAUACCUAGUAUUGGAAGAAAAUACACGCGGUACAAACAUAAUUGAAAGGCAAAGAGUAGGCUUGAUAGGUUCUUAACUUCUUUUGAAUGGUUGCAACCUUGUCAAAGUCAUAGAUGUGUCAUUGACAAGGUCAUAAAUGUGUCACAAUCAACUUUUUUUAUCAAAUAGAGGGCUACUAGAUAGUGUUCUUGUUGUCAAUGAGGUUGUCGAUGAACACAAGAGAAAAAAAGAGGAGCAGGGUAAUUGUGAAGCUUGACUUUGAAAAGGCGUAUGACUCGGUCAAUUGGGAGUUUUUGUACUACAUGAUGGGAAGAUUAGAAUUCUAUGGGAAAUGGAUUCAGUGGAUCAAAGUCUGUCUAGAAUCUGUUACUAUCCCCGUUCUGGUAAACAGCAGCCCAACAAAAGAAUUCAAACCCUCUAGAGGCCUAAGAUAGCGGGAUCCGAUUGCACCUUUCUUGUUUCUAAUCGUGGCUCAAGGCCUAUCCGGAUUGGUAAACCAAGCGACCAGAAAAACCGUUUUUUGGGAAUUAAAGUAGGAAACAAGAAGGUUGAGGUGAAUCUACUCUAAUUUGUUGAUCACACAUUAUUUGUCUUAGAAUCAAGUAUGCAAAAAUAUUAUGACUAUUAAGGCUAUGUUAAGAUAUUUUGAAUUAGGUUUUGGCCUCAAAGUAAACUUCCACAAGAGUAAAAUAGGUGCAGUUGAUGUUGACAAAAACUUGGUCAAUAUGUACUCUGAAAUCCUUUACUACAGCCUAAUGGACCCUUUACCUACUUAGCCCUACCUGUAGGUGGUAACCCUUAUAGAUGCUCUUUUUGGGAGCUAGUGUUAUCAAAGAUAAAAAAGAAACUCUACAUGUGGAAAGGUAAAAACUUAUCCUUAGCGAGAAGAGUUAGCCUCAUAAAACCAGUUAAUUAUCAACAAUAUAUCAUUAUUCUUAUCAUUUUUUAAAGCCCCAAAUGGUGUGUGCAAGGAAAUCAUAAAGAUUCAAAGGAAAUUCUUGUGGGGAUGGGACACAGAAGGGAGGGAAAUUGCUUUGUGUAGUUGGGAGAACAUAUUCAAACCAAAAGAGGAAGGUGACAUUGGUAUUAGACGCAUUGACCUAUUUAAUAAGGCUCUAUUGGAAAAAUGGUUAUGGAGAAUGAGGUCCCCUGAGGUUGGCAUGUGGAAGGACGUCUUAGAAUCGAAGUAUGGAUCUUUGAGGAUGUUAAACUUAAAUACACUGGAUCGAAAUAAGUAUAAAUCUGGAUGGUGGAAUGAUUUAUCCAAAGCAAGCCUCUCAGAUUAGGGAAGUAGAUGGUUUGAUUCAAAUGUGGUUUGGCAAGUGGGAGAUGGCUCAGUUUAAAUUAUGGGAAGAUGAGUGGUUAGACAAUACCCAACUCAAAUAGAGAUAUCCUAAAAUAUACAAAAACUCCCUGGAGGAAGUCAUGCCUUAAAUAAGCAUGCAGGUCUUGAUGCAUAAAUCUGUUAGCCUAAGCUUUUACUAUUGCAUAAUUCAUUUUUGUACAGGAAGUGUUUUGAUACAUAAUUAUGUUCUAUAUGGGAAAUGGUGGAUGAGAUUGUGUAGCCUAGGUUUUUUGAAAAUAGGUUUUGGAAACUUGUAUGAUAUUAAGAAAUAAAUAGUUAGGUGGAUUUUGGUAUUUAUAUAAGGGUUGAGACACCUAUGAAGUGUCUCUCUUAAUUCAUUAAUUCUUUUAUGGAAAAAAAAUGUCUACAUGCAUCUAAAUUUUUCAAAAACAUAACCUAACAUUCAAAGUGUGAACAUUGAAUAUAAAAUUUAUCAGUACUAUAAAUCAUUAAAUAGAAACUAAUUUUAAAAAAUAUAAAUAAUUAAUUUUUAUAUUAACUAAAUUAGAUACUAAUUGAGAUACUAAAAUAAUUAUUGUUAUAUAAAGUAGUUUCUAUUAUUAAUAGAAAAAUUAAAACUAAUUUAUAUUAAUAAUAGAAACUACUUAUAUAUUAAUAGUUUUUUAACUUAUAAAAUAGUAUCUAACUUAAUUAAUAUUUAUUUUUUAUUUACAACAUAAUAAAUAGAAACACUUCGAAAUAAGUGCUCCAAUUUUUUACAAUACAAAAUAGUAUCUAAAGCUUCAAUACCAACUAAGAACACCAUGCUUGUAACAACUAUGAAGAAAAAACUGCAUUGAAUUAUGCAGAAAACCUGCAUCGGAACGUGCUUAACGAAUCAACUCAAACCAACAAAAAGAUGUCUCCCACCAUACACAACACAUUAAAAACACCUCAACCCUUUAAACACAAUCUCCCAAUACUAAUUAACACGUUCAAAACACACAUUUCUCAGCCAUACCAGUAAAAACCAUCUCAUGAACCAACAUAUAUUCCUACCCUCCUUCUUUACUCAUUUAAAGCCAGUCUAUCUCUAUUCCUAACCUGAUUUAUCUUUCUUCCGAAUAGAUUUCAUGUCCACCAUAGGUCCAAACACCAAGUUAAUAUACUAACUAAAUAUUUUUAGUCUGUUAAAUAUCAAUUUUUAUUACUAUGUCAACAUUUAAUGUUAACAUGAUACUGUUCUUAUUACUAUGUCAAAUGUUGACAUGAUAUUGUUCUUAUUGCUAUGUCAACAUUUAAUGUUGACAAGAUCAAGUUAAUAUAUGAAACGAAAUCAGACAAUUAAAAAUAGUAAGGAAAUGAGAGUUUAUUGAAGACUUAAAUACAUUUAUAAUCCUUUUAUUUUGAUUUUCUGAUUUUCUUUUAUAAAAAAAAAAUAAUAAAUAAGGAAUACUUCAAAAAAAAGUGUCUCAACCCUUAUAAAAAAAAACCUAUUCCUCUUACAACUAGCUUUAAACUACAGAAAAACUAGAAACAUUUUCCAGAAAAGAGAGGCUUAAACUUGAGAAAGACUGUUAUUUUUAGUCACUUUAGACAAAAAGAGAGGCAUAAACUUGAGAAACACUGCUAUUUUUAGUGACUUAAGUUAGACAAUGUUAGCUAUGUUUUGUUUAUGUGAUCAUUAUUUGAGUUCUCAAUUAAUAUGUGAAAUAACUCGCAAAACUAAUUUUGGCACUUGAUUCUCAUAUUUGAAAAUCUUAGUCAAAGAUGCAAUAACUUGAGCACCGAAAAUAUCAAACUCGUUGCACCAGCUUGUGACAUUCAUCUACCAUACCAAUUAUUGUUAGGAUGUCUUCAAAGAGAGAAGUGACAAGUACCAACUGGAGUCUCUCUAGCUUGCUCAAAAUGGAAGUUAACAAUGGUGGAUGAUUGUUAGUCAUCCGUUUCGUUCUUAGCAAAUGUUCAUCACUAAACAAUUAUUCGACACAUCAUCAAUUUGUUAAUGACAUCUAACCCUAGGGUCUAAAAAUAACAUGAUGCAAAGUCAAAGACUAAAAAAUGAAAAUUUCUAAUACAAGGAUAAAAACAAAUACAGUAUCCAAUUUGUGUCACUGAAAACAUAUUAAAGUCUUUAAUAAAUUUUCCAUAAACAAAUAUCAAUCAUUAAAUUCAUGUGACAAAUGUUAAAUAGAUUAUUAUUUUUCAUAUCAUUGACAUCACAAACAUCUUCUAACCCAAGCGAUUCAAAAUAGCAUUACACAAAAUCAAAUGACUAAAAAAUGAAAAAAAUAAUAAUUAUAGAAUUAAAAAAUGUACCCAAUUUGAAGGACCGGAAACAUGUUUAAAUUUUUAAUAGAAUCAUAUCAGUUAAUUAAAGUCGUGUCUAAAAUGUUAAAUACCCUUUUGACGUGUUAUAAAAUUAUGAUUAUGAAUUUUAGCUUUAUUUUAUAAUUUUCACGUAUGUCUCAAUUAAAUUUAAAUUCUAAAAUACUAUUUUCUUCAAAUAGUUCAAAGAAAACCAUUUAUAUAAAUAAAUUAACUUAUAUAUUCAUUUAUUUAUUAAUUGUUGUCGAAAUAUUAAUGUAUAUCUAUAAUAUUUUAGUCAUUAUCUCAAUCAAAUCGUUUAACCUAAUUGAUGAAGUAAAAUCCUUUGAUUUUGUAUAAGAAAAUACAAUUUAGAUAAGUUAAAAAUCUCAAAACUUUAAGUAGUACAACUCUAUACGCAUAUAACGUGUUCAUAACAAUUUUUAAUUUUCUAUUAUACAAACUUCGGGUUGGACAAAUCAACAUUAAAACUUAUGCUUAGUAUUGAGAAUUAGAAUAUGGAUGGAGCUGAAUAAUAGCAUAGCAAUAAAGGACAAUCUAUUGGGACGAGGAGUUAUACUGGUAAGUAGCAGCUUGUGUGGACUAUGUGGUGAGGAAGAAGAGAUUGUCUGUCAUUUAAUUUUUAAGUGUAAGGUUGUGUGGAGAAUAUGGGGUUUGUAUUUAUCUUGGUUGGGAUGUUUGUCGAUGAACCAUUUUAAUGCUAAGGUACAUUUCAUAGUAUUUUGCCCUAUAAAUGUUAAAGGAUCAAUAUUUAGAAUCUGGGAAAGGGUGUGGAUUGCAAUUGUAGGUAAUUUAGAAACAUCGGAAUAGGUGUGUCUUUAAGAAUAGGAGAGUUGAUCAUAUAGAUGUGUUUGUGGUGGCACAAAGAAAAGUUUGAACUUGGAUUACGAGUAAAGAAAAAUAUGCAGAGUUCACUUAUUCUAACUGGUGCUUGGAACCUUUAUGAAUUCUGUUAAUUAGUUUUGCUUCGUUUACUUUUGUAUGUAUUGCUAAUUUCUUGUUUUUAGAAAGGAAGAAGUUGUGUGUUUUGCAGAUUGGUUGUAAACAGUUUGUCUCUCUGAUUGGAGUAAGAGGAUAUUACACAAUAUGAGAAUCUUCUUCUUACAUUAGAUUGUAGAGACUCCAUGAAGGAGCAAAAUUUUGUGGUAUUUUAAGGUGUUGUGCUUUUGUAAAUUUUUUUUUUUAAAAAAAAAAUCUCUUAUUUUUUUUGGAGGUUUGUGUAUAAAAUUGAGAGGUGGACUUUAAGUUUAAUUCAACCUCAUAAACCAACCAACUUAUAAGGUGAGGUUUGCACCCACUUAUAUACUAUGAAAUGUUCACAAACUCUCGUUAAGAUAGACUUUAAAUCACUCUGAUACUAUAUUGAGAAGUGGACUUUAAGCCCAAUUCAACCUUAUAAAAUUAACUUAUAAAGUGAGAUUCGUACUCACUUAUAUACCAUGAAAUGUUUUAAUCUCUAGUCAAUGUGAAAUUUCCAAUAUACUACAAUUCAAAACCAAAGAGUUAACACAAGUAAGCUGACUAUUUUUUAUAAAAAAAAAUCAUGUUCUAUGCAUAAGUUAAAUUUGUCUACCAUAAAAAAGUUAAUUAGAUUAACUUUAAUUAACUUCUUCUUUUUUUAUAGAAAAUUUAGUAUUACCAAAUAGAUAGAAUUCGUCGAUAAUAUCAAAAAGUUACGAAUGAACAUUUUCAACGAAGAAGUUACGAACAUAAUUUCAUCGAUAAAUCAUAUUUUUGUUGAUAAUUACCGAUAACCAUAUACCUGUCAAUAAUUACUAACAAAAAAUUUCUUCUAUAAUUACUGACGAAAUUAUACUUCAAUAAUUAUUGAUGGAUAUUCCUUUAGUAAUUACAAACGAAAUUAUCUUUGAGUAAUUAUCCAUUGAAUUAUUCACUAAAUAGUCCAUAGAUCAAUAUACUGUUCGUUAAAUAAUUUAUACAUUAAUAUUUAUUAAGUAAUAGUUAAUAGAUUAAUAAUUAUCAAUUAAAUAAUUAAGAGAUUAUUAUUUAUUCAUUAAAUAUUAAUGGAUUAAUAUAUUAUAAAUUAAAUAAUUUAUAUGUUAAUAAUUUUUAUUAAAUAAAUAUUACAUUAAUAUUUAUUAAUUUUAGUAAUAGAUUAAUAUGUGCUAAUAUGAAUAAUUUUUUUAUUACUUAGUUUAUUUACAAACUCAUAUCUUAUUUUUUUUUCUUUACCGACGAAUAUAAAAAUUUAUUAACGAAGUUACUCUAUUAUUAACUAAUAAUUUAAGUGAUAAAUAUUUUGUCUAACACAUAACAAAUUUUACUUGUGAAUAUUUUAUGUAACACCCUAAAAAUAAUCUCAUACCAUAUAUAAACUUUAUUAAUUCAUAUUAUAUAUAAAUACACCAAUUUAUAUAAGAAGGAAUAUACAAAAUUUAUAUUCUUAUAUUUCUUUUCAAAUGUCGUUCAUACACUUGUAUAAAUACCUGAUUGUCUCCAUAGUACUAUCAUUCAUAACAAACACAUGCAAAGGUAAACUAUCAAAAUAAAAUUCUAACAUACGAAAAUAUAAUUAAAAGAACUUAUAUGAAUAGUAAUUCAUAAUUAAUUAGUUUUCUUUUUACUCAAACACAAUAAUAGAAAAAUUCAAAUAUCAAUCACAAUAAUCCGAUUUCAUUUCAAUCAUAUAAACCACACAUGAAUCUAUUUUCAAUCACAAUAAUUCAAUUUUAUUUUAAUCACAUUAACUACACAUGAAUCCAUUUGUAGUCAUAGUAUCUUGAUUUCUUUUCAAUCACAUUGACUCCACAUAAAUUCAUUUGCAAUCAUAGUACCUUGAUUUCUUUUCAAUACUCAUUACUAUGAUUCAUUUCAAUCACAUUCCAAUACUCAAGACUAGAUUUACACAUUAAUCUAAGAGAAAAUAUCAUGGUAAGUUUAAACAUCAAAUAUCAUAUGAUAACAAACGGUCACGGUGUAUAUGAACUCCCUCAUUAGCUCCUCACCAACUGAAAUCAUAACUUAUGUGACUUAGAUCAUAACUAAAUGAUAAAUACCUAAUUUCAGUAAUAUUUCAUAUUAAAAUAUAGGCACUUAUGAGUGUUAAUUUCUAAAAUACAUAUAAAAUAAUCCCUACUUUAUGAAUUUAUACCUUUUACAUUUUUUAUGAUCUUUACUUGAAUAAGAACAUUUUAUUCCCAAAUUUGAUGUUAAUUUCAGGUUUUUAGGGAAGAAUGGAGAUUUGGACUAAAAAAGAAUGAUAUAAGCUAGAAGGAGAAAGCUGGAAGGCUCGGAACGCACAAAAAGAAGGCUCCAAUGAAGUUUUUUGGAAAACAAGGCCUUUCUCGCUCAAGCGAGAUAUUCAAUUAAUAUAAGAUAUGUAAAAAUACAGAUAUGCAAUUAAUAACAAAACAACUUCAUAUUUCAUUUUGAGUGUUGUAUUUACUUAUAUAUAUUACACAAUUUCAGCAAAACAACCUCAAAAAAAAGUGUAGUUGUUGCAUAAGAUUCCUAUAACCAAGGCUAUAUAUGUUACUAAACAAAUUUUGCAUUAGUCCUUCAAAAAAUAAGUUUUGUUGUUGCUGCUACUACAUAAUUAAUGUUGGUUGUUGCUUGUACUUGUACAUACUAAACAACCUCCAAGUGUCGCUCGCGAACCCACUACCUCUAGUUGUUGGCUUUAUUACCGUCGUCGUUGGUUUCGUUCGUUGCCAUCGUCGUUGGUUUCAUUCGUUGUUGUCACCGUUGGCUUCAUCGUCGUCACUGUUGUCGUUUGCACCUUCAAGUUCAAUCGUUGUUGUUGGAGAGAGGAAAGACGUAGAUUGCCUUUGUCAUCGCAGUUGUCGUUCAAACUUGGUUUCUGUUAGUCAGAAGAAGAACGUAGAGAAGAAGGAUGUACAAAGGAACUUUCGAAAUGAGCAGGGGACAUUUGAAAUGAUGCACCAAGUUCGCGGGCAAAUUAAAAUUAGGGCUUUUAUUUAUAAAAACAAUUAAAAUUAAAAUUAGGGUUUUUAUAUAAUAAUUCAUAUUAAAAUUAGGAUUUUUAUAAAAGGUCGCAAUAUGAAAUUGUUUUGCGAUUCGUAUGAUACAACUAUGAUACGGGAGCAAAAACGAUUAUUCUUACGAUUCAUCUUGCAGACACUCAGAAUCGUAUCGUACGAUUCGUUUCGUGAAUCGUACGAUACUUACUACCAUGAAUCAUAUAAUCUCAACUACAAUAUCACCGCCAAUAUUUAAUAACUCAAUGCAAGUUGUUAGUAGUACUAAUUAAAUGUCAAAAAAACAAAUUUCCACAGGAUGAUCAUGUACUCAAUUUCUCAAGCAUCAAAACUCUAAGAAUGAGAUGAAAGAGGGUGAAGUUCAUGUUACGAAGUGGACUUUAAGCCUAACUCAACCCCAUAAAACCUAUAUACAAUGAAAGGCUCUAAUCUCUAGUCGAUGUGGGAUCUCCAACACACCCCCCUCACGCCGUGGGACUAUAUAUUAUGGGUGGUCCGAUAGAGGCCCGAUAUCGGGUGGCUUGAUAAGCCCAACAAAUACUCGCUAGGAUAGGCUCGAAAUGACUCUGAUACCAUGUUACGAAGUGGACUUUAAGCCUAACUCAACCCCAUAAAACCGGCUCAUAGGGUUGAGGUUUGCACCCACUUAUAUACAAUGAAAGGCUCUAAUCUCUAGUCGAUGUGGGAUCUCCAACAGUUCAAGAAGAAGUUGGUAUUAUAGAAGAAGUUGGAGUGAAGUUGAUGCUAAGAAGAAUAAAUUUCUGGUGUAGAUCCGGCAUAGACUUUGUGAUGCAGGGGAGGUUGGACCAAUUAUGCAGGUGUAGUUUUGAUGUAGGCCACUCUGAUGUGGUGUUUUGGUUAAGCUUUUUCUGUUUGUUGAUUAUUCUGUUUAUGGUUAUGCAGUAGUUGUACUAGAGUCUUUUGAUGGGUUUUAGAACUGUUUUGUUAUGUUAUAAACUUAUAGGUGAUGUAUACGGGUUAGGACACUCCUGAAGUAUCUCAUUUAUAGUCAAUUCUAUUCUUUGUUGAUAAAAAAAAAAAACUCUACAUACAUGUAUUACAAGUUUGAAUUAAUUUAACAAAAUUCUUAUUUAAAUAGUUAUCUAUGCAUGGUUUGAUCAAUAAAAUGCUAAGAGUCACGCUUGAGAUCAGAUAAUAAUGAAAGAAAAAAAAUUAUAUUAUAACAUAAGACUUUACAUAUAAAAACAUAUAUAGUGACGGAUCUUUAGAAAAUAUAAUGUAAACGUUUUCUUAUAGGUGUACACAAAUUUUAGAAGUACGUAUUAAAUAUAUAAAAUGUAUUAAAGUUUAAAACAUACUUCUAUUUAUAUAUGAAUUUAUAUAUAUGUAAAAAUAAUUGGGAGCUAAAGGCCCCUCAGACACCACAGGAAAGUAUAAUAAUAUAAAGAAAGAUAAAAAAACAUUAUCUACAGCAAUAAAUAUAAAGAAUAGACAAUAGAUGGUAAAAUUAAUCUUAACUUUAACACUGUUAUGCGCUUUAUAGAUGAUUUUUUUGUGUGUGUGUUUUUCAUAAUUAGAGUCAUAUAUCCAAAAGAAUAUUGUUCUAAUUCAUUCUCCUUAUCACGUCAUCAACUUUUACUUCUUUACGAAACUGUAGAAGGAAAUAAAUAAAGCUGCCUUAAUAUUCCUAUACAAAAUUAAACAAGUUGUUAAACAAAUUGCUAAUUAAUAAACUGGACACGGCUCUCUUAACAAAGAAGGACCACUUUUUCACACAUGCGAUAUGCUUCAUUGAGUAAAAUGGACGCAAAAACAUUUUAUUUUUGUGAGCUUCCUUUAAUUUAGAAAUUUCUAAUCUAGAUUAAAUAUUAAUCCAAUAUUUGCACACACGCCCUUAUUAAGAAUUAUAUAUCUUGCCAACUUUUUUGGCUCAAGAAACUUUCUACAACGAAAGUUUGUGACCCAUUUUUUCUAUUGCAAAAUUGCGACUGAUAAAGAAAUAAUGGAGAAGGGAUUUGUGAUUACGGUUUUUGGUAUCACCUUUAUUUGGUCGCUCUUUCUAUUUCAAAUCAAUUUAACGAUUAAUUUUUAUGUUUUAACGAUUAAUUUUAGUGGUUGAUAUUUCUUUUUUAGUGAUUUAAAUUUUGUUAAUAUAGAUUAAAUAUUAAUUGAAUAUUUGCAUUCAGGGCUUAGUAAGAUUCUUACCAACUGUUUCUUGACUCAAGAAACGCCUGAAACAUGCUGAUAAUUAAGUGGAGAACACAAAUUCUUCUUCUAAACUUAUUCCAAAACGUGGACGCUAUUAUUUUGGAACUCGUUGCUCCUUCCAAGAAAGCACCUUCUUGUGACCCAGAAAUAAAGGUCAAGUAAAUUUGAGGGUUUAUUGGAGGUGGUGGCAGUUUCUCUUUUUCUGGUCAAAUUGUCAAGAGAAGAAAUCAGCCACCAAGUGGGGUCCAACUACACCAAAGUGGCAAGACAAUUGAACUACGGAACCAAAAGAAACGUUUGCUAUGUGAUCUGUACUCUGCUAAAGGCUAAAGCAUAGAUAAAAACAAAGGGUGGAAAGAAAGCAAAUUAUAACAUAUUUUCUCUAUUAUUUAGGGACGUUCUUUUUUCCUUUUUUUGUGGUUGGUCUUAUAUCUUAAAGCUCUAUAAGUACCACCCUGCAAACUCAAAUCUACAUAGAGCAAUAGAGAAGAGGCAGAUAGAAAGAAAGAAAGAAAACGAGUGUUGAGUUUAAAAAAUGAGUAACUUCCCAGUGAUCAACUUUGAGAAGCUCAAUGGUGAGGAGAGAAAAGACAUCAUGGAGAAAAUAAAAGAUGCUUGUGAAAACUGGGGAUUCUUUGAGGUACCUCAAGAACCCAUGCUUGUCUUUCCUAAUUCAUUUCUACAUUGCCCUCCAAAUAUAUGUCCUAGUUAUUUCUUCCCAUUUUCUUGGUACUUAAUGUCUUUUCUUACUCUUGGCUUUCAAAAUUAUGUAUAUAGUUGGUGGAUCAUGGCAUACCCCAUGACCUAUUGGACACUGUGGAGAGGUUGACUAAAGAGCACUACGAGAAAUGUAUGGAAGAAAGGUUCAAGGAAUCAAUGGCAAGCAAAGGUCUAGAGGCCAUCCAAACUGAGGUCAAGGAUAUGGACUGGGAGAGCACCUUCCACUUGCGUCACCUCCCUGAAUCAAACAUAUCAGAGGUCCCUGAUCUCGUUGAUGAAUACAGGUUACAGUGCAACAAACAUAUAUAACAUUACACAUUGCAUGAGGAAAACAUAUGAUAUUGUCCCAAAGAUUGAAAAUUACUCCACCUAUAUUACUUCUGCUGCAUUAUUUAUUUUUGAGUAUCCACACAUCACCUAAUAAUGAUUUCAAAAACCAAAAAAUAAACAAGAUGGACCUGUGCAUUUCCAAAUUGAAACUGUACAUAUCUCUUUCACUAGACUCUAACAUGAAGUAAUAGUGCAGGAAGGUGAUGAAGGAUUUUGCUUUGAGGUUAGAAAAACUAGCAGAACAGCUGCUGGACUUGUUGUGUGAGAAUCUUGGUCUAGAGAAAGGGUACCUCAAGAAAGCCUUCUAUGGAUCAAGAGGACCAACUUUUGGCACCAAGGUUGCCAACUACCCUCCAUGCCCCAACCCAGAGUUGGUGAAGGGUCUUCGUGCCCACACCGAUGCCGGUGGGAUCAUCCUUCUCUUCCAGGAUGACAAGGUCAGUGGCUUACAGCUGCUCAAAGAUGACCAGUGGGUCGAUGUACCCCCUAUGCGCCACUCCAUUGUUGUUAACAUUGGUGAUCAGCUUGAGGUAAACUUUUCCUACUAAUAUGUGAACUUAAUUAGUAUACAGUAAUAAUGCAAAUGCUUUUUCCACUUUCAUCUUAUCAUAGAUUAUCAAGCAAUCAAAAAUAUCAUUUUUUGGUCAUAAUUACUUUAAAAACUUUUAAUUGGUGGACUUUAAUCUACAUAUUCAUAUGCAUAUAUACAUAUACAUAUAUAUGUAUAUAUAGAUAAACUAGACAUUUCUACAAACAAGUGAGAUGCGACAAAAUUAGUGAUAUCUAACUCUACUUGGUUAAAAAAACAGGUGAUCACCAAUGGUAAGUACAAGAGUGUGGAGCACCGUGUGAUAGCACAAACUGAUGGGACCAGAAUGUCCAUAGCCUCAUUCUACAACCCUGGCAGCGAUGCUGUCAUCUACCCUGCUCCAGAAUUGUUGGAGAAAGAGGCAGAGGAGAAAGCCC